GUAAUUGUUGAAAUCGGUCACCAGGAACUUUUUACUGGAUGAGUCCUCUGCCAUGUACUUGGCUUCGAGACAAUCCCACAAUUCCUUUGCAGAUUCCACGUUUUGGUAAAUAUCAAAUAAGGGAUCAGUCAUACCGUUAAGAAUGUGCCCUCUGCAUAUGUAAUCGUCGUUCUCCCACUUUGAUCGGCGCCUCAGAUUUUCAACCGUGUCAUCCUCCCCAAUUUCUGGAAUCGGUGUAGACAGGACGUGCACCACCUUCAACGUUGUCAACAUGAAAUGCAUAUUCUUCUGCCAACGCCUGAAUUCUUGUCCUUGA
This 316-nucleotide long non-coding RNA is filed under the name Trifolium pratense (red clover). RNAcentral describes it as "long non-coding RNA (TPRA_LNC000487)". Lineage: Eukaryota; Viridiplantae; Streptophyta; Magnoliopsida; Fabales; Fabaceae. The record is from RNAcentral.